RNAcentral lists this long non-coding RNA (199 nucleotides) under Elaeis guineensis (African oil palm). RNAcentral describes it as "long non-coding RNA (EGUI_LNC017713)". Lineage: Eukaryota; Viridiplantae; Streptophyta; Magnoliopsida; Arecales; Arecaceae. The record is from RNAcentral.
CUUCACAAAUUUUAUUUAUGUAUUUUUCCUCCCAAGCUCGUAUCAACAACAAUAAUAGCAAUAGCAGCAGUAAUAUAUAGUAGUGGUAGUGUCUUCCAAAGUUAUCUCACAAAACAUCCAAGAGCAAACUAUAAUAAUAUAAGCAUGGAAGUGCAGGUCGGUAGGCCCUUCCCAUGGGAACCACAAAAGAGAGUCCAGC